UACGUAGAGGGCAAGCGUUGUCCGGAUUCAUUGGGCGUAAAGAGCGUGUAGGCGGCCAGGUAGGUCGGUUGUGAAAACUGGAGGCUCAACCUUCAGAGGUCGACCGAAACCAUCUGGCUAGAGUCCGGGAGAGGAGAGUGGAAUUCCUGGUGUAGCGGUGAAAUGCGCAGAUAUCAGGAAGAAUAUCCGUGGCGAAGGCGGCUCUCUGGGACGGUACUGACGCUGAGACGCGAAAGCGUGGGGAGCGAACAGG
RNAcentral lists this ribosomal RNA (253 nucleotides) under uncultured bacterium. RNAcentral describes it as "partial 16S ribosomal RNA". It matches the Rfam family "Bacterial small subunit ribosomal RNA", at positions 524 to 776 of the family's 1533-position model. The record is from RNAcentral.